RNAcentral lists this ribosomal RNA (253 nucleotides) under uncultured bacterium. Its description in RNAcentral is "partial 16S ribosomal RNA". It matches the Rfam family "Bacterial small subunit ribosomal RNA", at positions 524 to 776 of the family's 1533-position model. The record is from RNAcentral.
UACAGAGGUCUCAAGCGUUGUUCGGAUUCAUUGGGCGUAAAGGGCGCGUAGGUGGCGCUGUAAGUCGGGUGUGAAAUUUCGGAGCUUAACUCCGAAACUGCAUUCGAUACUGCCGUGCUUGAGGACUGGAGAGGAGACUGGAAUUUACGGUGUAGCGGUGAAAUGCGUAGAUAUCGUAAGGAAGACCAGUGGCGAAGGCGGGUCUCUGGACAGUUCCUGACGCUGAGGCACGAAGGUCAGGGGAGCAAACGGG